GAUUGAACGCUGGCGGCAGGCCUAACACAUGCAAGUCGAGCGAGAAAGUCCUUCGGGAUGAGUACAGCGGCGGACGGGUGAGUAACGCGUAGGAAUCUACCUAGUAGUGGGGGACAACAUGUGGAAACGCAUGCUAAUACCGCAUACGCCCUAUGGGGGAAAGCGGGGGAUCUUCGGACCUCGUGCUAUUGGAUGAGCCUGCGUAAGAUUAGCUAGUUGGUGGGGUAAAGGCCUACCAAGGCGACGAUCUUUAGCUGGUCUGAGAGCAUGAUCAGCCACACUGGAACUGAGACACGGUCCAGACUCCUACGGGAGGCAGCAGUGGGGAAUAUUGGACAAUGGGCGAAAGCCUGAUCCAGCCAUGCCGCGUGAGUGAAGAAGGCCUUAGGGUUGUAAAGCACUUUCAGUAAGGAGGAAAGGUUGUUGGUUAAUAACUAACAACUGUGACGUUACUUACAGAAGAAGCACCGGCUAACUCCGUGCCAGCAGCCGCGGUAAUACGGAGGGUGCCGAGCGUUAAUCGGAAUGACUGGGCGUAAAGCGCGCGUAGGUGGUUUCUUAAGUUGGAUGUGAAAGCCCUGGGCUCAACCUGGGAACUGCAUCCAAAACUGGGAGACUAGAGUACGGUAGAGGGGGGUAGAAUUUCAGGUGUAGCGGUGAAAUGCGUAGAUAUGCGGAGGAACAUCGGUGGCGAAGGCGGCUAUCUGGCUUAAUACUGACACUGAGGAACGAAAGCGUGGGUAGCAAACAGGAUUAGAUACCCUGGUAGUCCACGCCGUAAACGAUGUCAACUAGCCGUUGGGAGGUAUAACCUUUUAGUGGCGCAGCUAACGCGAUAAGUUGACCGCCUGGGGAGUACGGCCGCAAGGCUAAAACUCAAAUGAAUUGACGGGGGCCCGCACAAGCGGUGGAGCAUGUGGUUUAAUUCGAUGCAACGCGAAGAACCUUACCAAGACUUGACAUCCUGAUAACUUUCUAGAAAUAGAUUGGUGCCUUCGGGAGAUCAGUGACAGGUGCUGCAUGGCUGUCGUCAGCUCGUGUCGUGAGAUGUUGGGUUAAGUCCCGUAACGAGCGCAACCCUUAUCCUUAUUUGCCAGCACGUAAUGGUGGGAACUCUAGGGAGACUGCCGGUGACAAACCGGAGGAAGGUGGGGACGACGUCAAGUCAUCAUGGCCCUUACGUCUUGGGCUACACACGUGCUACAAUGGACCGUACAAAGGGUUGCUAAGCCGCGAGGUGGAGCUAAUCCCAUAAAACCGUUCGUAGUCCGGAUUGGAGUCUGCAACUCGACUCCAUGAAGUCGGAAUCGCUAGUAAUCGUGAAUCAGAAUGUCACGGUGAAUACGUUCCCGGGCCUUGUACACACCGCCCGUCACACCAUGGGAGUGGGUUGCUCCAGAAGUGGUUAGCCUAACCUUCGGGAAGGCGAUCACCACGGAGUGAUUCAUGACUGGGGU
This 1457-nucleotide ribosomal RNA is filed under the name uncultured prokaryote. RNAcentral describes it as "partial 16S ribosomal RNA". It matches the Rfam family "Bacterial small subunit ribosomal RNA". The record is from RNAcentral.